Paramuricea clavata is the source of this 894-nucleotide non-coding RNA. The record is from the annotation of a GenBank genome assembly. Lineage: Eukaryota; Metazoa; Cnidaria; Anthozoa; Malacalcyonacea; Plexauridae.
AGUUGCAGUAAGCUAUAUCGCCAUUUAGAAAUUAGCAAAAGGACUAAACCCAGUUGCUAAGCAAUGUCGCCCUUCAGAAAUUAGCAAAUGGACCAAAAUCAGUUGCUAAACUAUGUCGCCAUUUAGAAAUUAGCAAGGGGACCAAACGCAGUUGCUAAGCUAUGUCGCCAUUCAGACAUUAGCAAAAGGACCAAACCCAGUUGCUAAGCAAUGUCGCCAUUCAGACAUUAGCAAAGGGACCAAACCCAGUUGCUAAGCUAUGCCGCCAUUCGGAGAUUAGCAAAGGGAGCAAACCCGGUUGCUAAGCUAUGCCACCAUUAAGAAAUUAGCAAAGUGAUUAAAUCCAGUUGCUAAGCAGCGUCGCAUUUUGGAAAUUAGCAAAGGGACCAGACCCAUUUGCUAAACUAUGUCGCCCUUUAGAAAUUAGCAAGGGGACCAAACCCGCUAAGCUAUGUCGCCAUUCAGAAAUUAGCAAAAGGACCAAACCCAGUUGCUAAGCUAUGCCACCAUUAAGAAAUUAGCAAAGUGAUUAAACCCAGUUGCUAAGCAGCGCCGCAUUUUGGAAAUUAGCAAAGGGACCAGACCAAUUGCUAAGCUAUGCCGCCAUUUAGAAAUUAGCAAAGUGACUAAACCCAGUUGCUAAGCAGCAUCGUCAAUUAGAAAUUAGCAAAGGGACCAAACCCAAUUGCUAAGCUAUGCUGCAUUUAGAAAUUAGCAAAGGGACCAAACCCAAUUGCUAAGCUAUGCCGCCAUUUUGAAAUUAGCAAAGUGAGUAAACCCAGUUGCUAAGCUAUGUCGCAAUUUAGAAAUUAGCAAAGGGAUCAAGCCCGGUUGCUAAGCUAUAUCGCCAUUUAGAAAUUAGCAAAGGGACUAAACCCAGUUGCUAAGCAAUGU